GGGCGCUUGGCACAGGGGUAGCGCGCACGCUUCGCAGUCUUGAAUGCGUGAGGUCGUGGGUUCAAAUCCCACAGUGUCCA
RNAcentral lists this transfer RNA (80 nucleotides) under Schizophyllum commune. Its description in RNAcentral is "tRNA-Ala". It matches the Rfam family "tRNA". From Rfam's summary of the family: Transfer RNA (tRNA) molecules are approximately 80 nucleotides in length. Their secondary structure includes four short double-helical elements and three loops (D, anti-codon, and T loops). Further hydrogen bonds mediate the characteristic L-shaped molecular structure. tRNAs have two regions of fundamental functional importance: the anti-codon, which is responsible for specific mRNA codon recognition, and the 3' end, to which the tRNAs corresponding amino acid is attached (by aminoacyl-tRNA synthetases). tRNAs cope with the degeneracy of the genetic code in two manners: having more than one tRNA (with a specific anti-codon) for a particular amino acid; and 'wobble' base-pairing, i.e. permitting non-standard base-pairing at the 3rd anti-codon position. The record is from RNAcentral. RNAcentral also lists the same sequence under 3 other names. Lineage: Eukaryota; Fungi; Basidiomycota; Agaricomycetes; Agaricales; Schizophyllaceae.